UGGGGAAUAUUGGGCAAUGGGCGAAAGCCUGACCCAGCGACGCCGCGUGGGGGAAGAAGUCUUUCGGGAUGUAAACCCUUGUUGUACGGGACGAAGGAAGUGACGGUACCGUACGAGGAAGCCCCGGCAAACUACGUGCCAGCAGCCGCGGUAAUACGUCGGGGGCGAGCGUUGUCCGGAAUUACUGGGCGUAAAGCGCAGGUAGGCGGGCUGUUAAGUCGGCCGUGAAAGGCACUGGCUCAACCGGUGUUUGUCGGGCGAUACUGGCGGGCUGGAGUAUGGGAGAGGGAACUGGAAUU
RNAcentral lists this ribosomal RNA (299 nucleotides) under uncultured prokaryote. RNAcentral describes it as "partial 16S ribosomal RNA". It matches the Rfam family "Bacterial small subunit ribosomal RNA", at positions 355 to 668 of the family's 1533-position model. The record is from RNAcentral.